RNAcentral lists this long non-coding RNA (651 nucleotides) under Anser brachyrhynchus (Pink-footed goose). Its description in RNAcentral is "lncRNA (ENSABRG00000019747.1)". The record is from RNAcentral. Lineage: Eukaryota; Metazoa; Chordata; Aves; Anseriformes; Anatidae.
GCGUAAUGGGCAGAAAACAGCCACCUUCUGGCUCCAAGCACAAAAUAGCUUCCUAAAUCAGCAGCGGUUUUUCCCCUCAUUUACUUUUGGAAGCCUGCUGACUUCUGAAUUGCUCAGCCCGCUGUAAACCAGGUAUGAAAUGCAAACGCCUCCCCUGCCCGCAGCACGGCCAAACCCUGCGGUGCGCUACCACCAGCGUGGUGGUGCCCUGCGCCGGGACACCGGGCUGAGGUGCGGCCAGGGGCUGCGCCAGGCACUGCCGGGGCUCAGGGGACGUUCUGCUCCUCGCAAUGUCACGGUGUGCACACCUGGGCUGGGGCUGCGGACCCAGCACAUCCCCGCAGCCAUGCUCAGAGCUGCAGAGGCUGCGGGCAGCCCAGCUCCAGGUGCAUCGGCCCCGGUGCCAAACGGGAGCACAAAGGCAGUUUAAGUUUUGCUUCCCCCUCCCAAAAGCAGUUUACAUUUUGUUUCCUCCACUUGCUCCUUCUGCAGGCGCUGGCGGGGAGGACGGAGCUGAGGCUGCAGCAGCGCGUGGGCUGAACGGGAGCCAGAAAUGCUAUGUUAUUGCAAGAAAAAGCAAACGUGGGUGCGUGCUUAGCACAAUGAAAGGCGCAGUGGAGAAGUCACUUUGUAAUUUUAGAAAAAUCUUGA